GUCGUGCAGGACUCCAUUGUCGAGGCCGAGGACAAGCUCUGCGGAGUUGUGGGCAGGAGUCUGCGACGCCUUUGCCGCUAUGUGAUGAAGAAGUUCAAACCCAAGAUCACGGAGGCACUGCAGGACGGGCAGGACCCCAAGGAGAUCUGUAUCAGCCUGCGGAUGUGCCGGGAGUCCCCACCCACCCAAGGCGGCCUGGUGCCCCCCAGUGAUGCCUGUGACCUCUGCUUAACCUUCACCAGCCUGGCCCAGCCGGACCUCCAGCACAUGAGGCCUGGCUGGGACCUUGGAGACGUCCUGAACAGCACAUGCAAGCGACACUUCGGGGGUUCCCCCAGGUGCAAUGACUUUGUUUCGACCUACCAAGCCAGGCUGCUGCAGGUUCUGAGGGUGUCCCCGGACCCGCUCACCACCUGUCUGG
This 421-nucleotide long non-coding RNA is filed under the name Chelonoidis abingdonii (Abingdon island giant tortoise). RNAcentral describes it as "lncRNA (ENSCABG00000012217.1)". Lineage: Eukaryota; Metazoa; Chordata; Testudines; Testudinidae. The record is from RNAcentral.